UUGGAAUGGCCUGAGAAUCGUUUCCUACAAUACGUACUGAAUUUUUUGUGAGAAAAAAAAAUCAGUAUGAAAUUACAAAUUUGCCUGUCAUUUAACGUGAAAUUAAAUACUCGUUCUUCCAGUUUAUGCUACACGCUCGGUUUUUUCAGUUAUUUUGCCAAGGAAUUUCUGCAAUCGUUCAUUAUACUUGUACAAGAACAACUGUUGUAUCCUCCUUUGUGUGCAUCAAAAUUCCUGACAUCUUUCCAGGUUGCCGCUCUUAUUGCAGGCUCUUCCUUGCUU
RNAcentral lists this long non-coding RNA (282 nucleotides) under Daucus carota (carrot). RNAcentral's name for it is "long non-coding RNA (DCAR_LNC006345)". The record is from RNAcentral. Lineage: Eukaryota; Viridiplantae; Streptophyta; Magnoliopsida; Apiales; Apiaceae.